GCACAUGUAGCUCAGCGCAAGAGCACCAGCCUUGUAAGCUGGAGGUCGAGGGUUCUUCACCCCCCAUGUACA
Molecule: transfer RNA, 72 nt
Filed under: Uranoscopus cognatus
Lineage: Eukaryota; Metazoa; Chordata; Actinopteri; Uranoscopiformes; Uranoscopidae
Description: tRNA-Thr
Rfam family: tRNA
About the family: Transfer RNA (tRNA) molecules are approximately 80 nucleotides in length.
Source: RNAcentral